UACGUAGGGUGCGAGCGUUGUCCGGAAUUAUUGGGCGUAAAGAGCUCGUAGGCGGUGUGUCGCGUCGGCCGUGAAAACCUGCAGCUUAACUGUGGGCGUGCGGUCGAUACGGGCAUCACUGGAGUUCGGCAGGGGAGACUGGAAUUCCUGGUGUAGCGGUGAAAUGCGCAGAUAUCAGGAAGAACACCGGUGGCGAAGGCGGCAUUCUGGACCGACAUUGACGCUGAGGAGCGAAAGCCAGGGGAGCAAACGGG
Molecule: ribosomal RNA, 254 nt
Filed under: uncultured bacterium
Lineage: Bacteria
Description: partial 16S ribosomal RNA
Rfam family: Bacterial small subunit ribosomal RNA
Source: RNAcentral